GGAAUCUUGCGCAAUGGGCGAAAGCCUGACGCAGCAACGCCGCGUGCGGGAUGAAGGCCUUCGGGUUGUAAACCGCUUUUACCAGGAAGGAAAAUGACAGUACCUGGAGAAUAGGGUGCGGCCAACUACGUGCCAGCAGCCGCGGUGACACGUAGGCACCAAGCGUUGUCCGGAUUUAUUGGGCGUAAAGAGCUCGUAGGCGGUUCAGUAAGUCGGGUGUGAAAACUCUGGGCUCAACUCAGAGACGCCACCCGAUACUGCUGUGACUUGAGUCCGGUAGGGGAGUGGGGAAUUCCUGGUGUAGCGGUGAAAUGCGCAGAUAUCAGGAGGAACACCAAUGACGAAGGCACCACUCUGGGCCGAGACUGACGCUGAGGAGCGAAAGCGUGGGUAGCAAACAGGAUUAGAUACCCUGGUAGUCCACGCCGUAAACGGUGGGCACUAGGUGUGGGUUCCAACCAACGGAAUCCGCGCCGGCGCUAACGCAUUAAGUGCCCCGCCUGGGGAGUACGGCCGCAAGGUUAAAACUCAAAGGAAUUGACGG
RNAcentral lists this ribosomal RNA (544 nucleotides) under uncultured bacterium. Its description in RNAcentral is "bacterial SSU rRNA". It matches the Rfam family "Bacterial small subunit ribosomal RNA", at positions 358 to 916 of the family's 1533-position model. The record is from RNAcentral.